UCUGCUUGCAUAUGUUCACUUUGGAUUUUCUGAACCAAGUGACAAACAGUCUUGAAAAGGAUAGCAUUUACCAUCUAGCCGAGAAGAGAAUUCCUUCAGUCCAUGGGUACACAUCAGGAUUAAAGCUUGAAUAAUUUAUAUUUGAUGUAUUCAACUAUUCUCCUUCAACAGGUCUUUUUGAGGUUUUGCGUGAGGAGGAAUUUGCGCCAGUGAAGAAUGCUAAUGGUGCAACUUAUGACACUCCUGACAGUGCCAGAUUAAUGCUGCUUCGGCUACAUAGCCGCUGGGUGGUUGCUACAGGUGGCUUCUUGAC
Long non-coding RNA from Zea mays, 313 nucleotides. RefSeq lists it as uncharacterized. The record is from RefSeq and is a predicted model, not a curated record. The transcript has 3 exons. NCBI's taxonomy places the organism in Eukaryota, Viridiplantae, Streptophyta, Magnoliopsida, Poales, Poaceae.